This 546-nucleotide long non-coding RNA is filed under the name Vigna radiata. RNAcentral describes it as "long non-coding RNA (VRAD_LNC002447)". Lineage: Eukaryota; Viridiplantae; Streptophyta; Magnoliopsida; Fabales; Fabaceae. The record is from RNAcentral.
AUCCAUUGCAUCAAUUAUAAGAAAUAGGAUAAUCGGAAGAAUUUACAUAUCAAAGACCAGAAAUAUCUUUUCGUUAUGAAAGAACUCGGUAUUAAAAAACUACGGUGAUCAGAACGCAGGAGCAUAAUAGAUCUUCAGUCUCACUCACGCAAUCGAUAUCUAUUUCGUGAAUUCUAUUAUUUGAUCCAAUCUCAGGUAGCUACUAACUAGUAAUAACAUGUUCUUCAGGCAUCAUAACACAUAAAAAAAGUGCAUAACUUGGCUCUGGUUUAACAUAAGUUACCAUGAAACUACGAUGAGUGUCGAUGAUAUGCUAUGGAUUAUGCUAAAAGAAACAUUAACACAUAGCUUUUCAGAAUUGAUAUGUCGUGUAAGGCAAUGGUUUUACUUGGCACAGGCAAUACCAUCGUGCACUCCCACUUGUGUUGUAGACUCAUUCAUCGAAAGUUUUGCACUCUAUGGUUUCUGGGUUGUCCUUGCAGAAGGUCUCCAGAGGGUCCGAAUCCUUUUCCUUUUGCUUGUCCCUCGCGUCUUUCGCCGCAGCGC